This 497-nucleotide ribosomal RNA is filed under the name uncultured bacterium. RNAcentral describes it as "partial 16S ribosomal RNA". It matches the Rfam family "Bacterial small subunit ribosomal RNA", at positions 28 to 507 of the family's 1533-position model. The record is from RNAcentral.
GAUGAACGCUGGCGGCGUGCCUAAUACAUGCAAGUCGAGCGAACAGACGAGGAGCUUGCUCCUCUGACGUUAGCGGCGGACGGGUGAGUAACACGUGGAUAACCUACCUAUAAGACUGGGAUAACUUCGGGAAGCCGGAGCUAAUACCGGAUAAUAUAUUGAACCGCAUGGUUCAAUAGUGAAAGACGGUUUUGCUGUCACUUAUAGAUGGAUCCGCGCCGCAUUAGCUAGUUGGUAAGGUAACGGCUUACCAAGGCGACGAUGCGUAGCCGACCUGAGAGGGUGAUCGGCCACACUGGAACUGAGACACGGUCCAGACUCCUACGGGAGGCAGCAGUAGGGAAUCUUCCGCAAUGGGCGAAAGCCUGACGGAGCAACGCCGCGUGAGUGAUGAAGGUCUUCGGAUCGUAAAACUCCGUUAUUAGGGAAGAACAAAUGUGUAAGUAACUAUGCACGUCUUGACGGUACCUAAUCAGAAAGCCACGGCUAACUACGUG